CAGGCUAGAGUGCAAUGGUAUGAUUUCGGCUCACUGCAACCUCCGCCUCCCGGGUUCAAGUGAUUUCUCCCGCCUCAGCCUCCCAAGUAGCUGGAAUUACAGGCACCUGCCAUCAUGCCCAGCUAAUUUUUGUAUUUUUGUAUUUUUGUAGAGACGGGGUUUCACCAUGUUUGCCAGGCUGGUCUUGAACACCUGACCUCAGGUGAUCUGCCCGCCUCUGCCUACUGAAGUGCUGGGCUUACAAGUGUGAGCCACCGUGCCCAGCCACUUAUUUUUUAUGGUGGUAAAAAAGAUGAGAUUUUUACCCUGUUAGUAAAUGUUUAAGUGUAUAGUAAUGUUAACUAUAAGCACUCUGCUUAGCUUAAUUUUUAAAGGCACAUAAUAGUGGCUUUACCUAAAGCAACUCAUUUCUUCUAGGAAUUUUGGGAAUCCUUCACAAAUUAACCUUAUAAACUUACUAGAGGGGCCAGGCGCGCUGGGGUGUAGACGUUUUAAAAAUAAUAUCACUGAAUUGUAAUGCAUCAAUUUGGGUUUUGGAGCAGUAUCUAACUUGUUCCAUUU
This is a long non-coding RNA of Homo sapiens (human), 561 nucleotides long. Ensembl annotates it as AMMECR1 intronic transcript 1. Its record names the gene AMMECR1-IT1. Lineage: Eukaryota; Metazoa; Chordata; Mammalia; Primates; Hominidae. The record is from Ensembl.